RNAcentral lists this ribosomal RNA (794 nucleotides) under uncultured bacterium. RNAcentral's name for it is "bacterial SSU rRNA". It matches the Rfam family "Bacterial small subunit ribosomal RNA", at positions 8 to 796 of the family's 1533-position model. The record is from RNAcentral.
AGAGUUUGAUCCUGGCUCAGGAUGAACGCUAGCGGCAGGCUUAAUACAUGCAAGUCGAGGGGCAGCGGGGGUAGCAAUACCUGCCGGCGACCGGCAAACGGGUGCGGAACACGUACACAACCUUCCUAUAAGUGGGGGAUAGCCCAGAGAAAUUUGGAUUAAUACCCCGUAAUAUUAUUUAGUGGCAUCAUUAGAUAAUUAAAGCUCCGGCGCUUAUUGAUGGGUGUGCGUCUGAUUAGGUAGUUGGUGAGGGUAACGGCCCACCAAGCCUUCGAUCAGUAACUGGUGUGAGAGCACGACCAGUCACGCGGGCACUGAGACACGGGCCCGACUCCUACGGGAGGCAGCAGUAAGGAAUAUUGGUCAAUGGACGCAAGUCUGAACCAGCCAUGCCGCGUGGAGGAUGAAGGUCCUCUGGAUUGUAAACUUCUUUUAUCUGGGAAGAAAUGCAUUUUUUCUAAAGUGUUUGACGGUACCAGAUGAAUAAGCACCGGCUAACUCCGUGCCAGCAGCCGCGGUAAUACGGAGGGUGCAAGCGUUAUCCGGAUUCACUGGGUUUAAAGGGUGCGUAGGUGGGCAGGUAAGUCAGUGGUGAAAUCUCCGGGCUCAACCCGGAAACUGCCAUUGAUACUAUCAGUCUUGAAUAUCGUGGAGGUAAGCGGAAUAUGUCAUGUAGCGGUGAAAUGCUUAGAUAUGACAUAGAACACCAAUUGCGAAGGCAGCUUACUACCCGAAUAUUGACACUGAGGCACGAAAGCGUGGGGAUCAAACAGGAUUAGAUACCCUGGUAGUCC